RNAcentral lists this long non-coding RNA (224 nucleotides) under Elaeis guineensis (African oil palm). Its description in RNAcentral is "long non-coding RNA (EGUI_LNC048170)". Lineage: Eukaryota; Viridiplantae; Streptophyta; Magnoliopsida; Arecales; Arecaceae. The record is from RNAcentral.
GAGCCAAGAAUGAGACUGAUGAUGCAUCGAUGAGAAACCAGGUCCUUUUCCUAAUACUUCUAUAGAGGGUGACUCCAUAGCCCUCAUUUGCCCCCCCAGCUGCUACUCAAAAACCCAAUAAAACUGCAUUUGCUCCGGCUAGGUACCACGAUCGGCUUCUCCCAGCAACCUGACGAAAAUUCUCCCUUUCAACUGACUCCAAUUCCUUGGCCACCCACAGCCAC